Molecule: ribosomal RNA, 385 nt
Filed under: uncultured bacterium
Lineage: Bacteria
Description: bacterial SSU rRNA
Rfam family: Bacterial small subunit ribosomal RNA
Source: RNAcentral
AUUGAACGCUGGCGGCAUGCCUUACACAUGCAAGUCGAACGGCAGCGGACCUUCGGGUGCCGGCGAGUGGCGAACGGGUGAGUAAUAUAUCGGAACGUACCUUUCAGUGGGGGAUAACGUAGCGAAAGUUACGCUAAUACCGCAUAUUCUGUGAGCAGGAAAGCAGGGGAUCGCAAGACCUUGCGCUGAUUGAGCGGCCGAUAUCAGAUUAGCUAGUUGGUGAGGUAAAGGCUCACCAAGGCGACGAUCUGUAGCGGGUCUGAGAGGAUGAUCCGCCACACUGGAACUGAGACACGGUCCAGACUCCUACGGGAGGCAGCAGUGGGGAAUUUUGGACAAUGGGCGCAAGCCUGAUCCAGCCAUGCCGCGUGGGUGAAGAAGGCCU